Molecule: long non-coding RNA, 285 nt
Organism: Scaptodrosophila lebanonensis
Lineage: Eukaryota; Metazoa; Arthropoda; Insecta; Diptera; Drosophilidae
Exons: 3
Source: RefSeq, a predicted model, not a curated record
UGACAAAUAAAUGUAUAAAACAAUGGUUGGAAUCAGAGGACAUAAUAGUAGAAAUAACAAGUACUAAAACAGAAAAUGUUCGAGGCAAAGAAUAUAGAAAAUAUAAAACAUAUGAGGAAGAAAAUUAUACACAAUUCAAAAUAUAGGGAGCAAAAUGCUGAGCCCAAUGAUGAUAUCCCUACCACUGAUGGCACGAAUAUAAAUAUAAAUGAGGCCAACUCAGAAAAAUGAAGAUAAAACCGUAAAAACAACUAGCAAGAUCAUCAAUUUUAAGCCCAAAGCUGC